RNAcentral lists this ribosomal RNA (390 nucleotides) under uncultured bacterium. RNAcentral's name for it is "bacterial SSU rRNA". It matches the Rfam family "Bacterial small subunit ribosomal RNA", at positions 29 to 420 of the family's 1533-position model. The record is from RNAcentral.
AUUGAACGCUGGCGGCAUGCCUUACACAUGCAAGUCGAACGGCAGCACGGGAGCAAUCCUGGUGGCGAGUGGCGAACGGGUGAGUAAUAUAUCGGAACGUGCCCAGUAGUGGGGGAUAGCCCGGCGAAAGCCGGAUUAAUACCGCAUACGACCUGAGGGUGAAAGCGGGGGAUCGCAAGACCUCGCGCUAUUGGAGCGGCCGAUAUCAGAUUAGCUAGUUGGUGGGGUAAAGGCCUACCAAGGCUACGAUCUGUAGUUGGUCUGAGAGGACGACCAGCCACACUGGGACUGAGACACGGCCCAGACUCCUACGGGAGGCAGCAGUGGGGAAUUUUGGACAAUGGGCGCAAGCCUGAUCCAGCAAUGCCGCGUGCAGGAAGAAGGCCUCGG